RNAcentral lists this unclassified non-coding RNA (213 nucleotides) under Hevea brasiliensis (rubber tree). Lineage: Eukaryota; Viridiplantae; Streptophyta; Magnoliopsida; Malpighiales; Euphorbiaceae. The record is from RNAcentral.
AAUUAAUUAAAAUUAAACAUCUCAUCAUCUUAAAGGCGGAUGUACAUUGGGGUAAAUUAGCACUUGCCCCACCACCCCACUAAAAUUUCAAUAAAAAUAUAUUUAAUAUUUUUUUAUUGUUCUUGCUUAAUUUCAUAUUCGCUACUCCAAAAUACUAUGAUCUAAAUCUUCGAAUCUAUCCUAUAUUCAUUAGGGCAUAUUUUUCAUGUUUAU